GAUGAACGCUGGCGGCGUGCCUAACACAUGCAAGUCGAACGGAAAGACGCUGAGCUUGUUCCUUUCUCGUUAGCGGCGGGCGGGUGUGUAACGUGUGGAUCCCCUACUUGUCUGUCUGGGAUCAUCUCGGAACACCGGAUCUUAUACCAGAGGAUCUAUUGCACCGUAUGGUUCAAUAGUGAUUGUCGGCUUUGCUGUAUGUAUUAGCGGGUUCCGCGCCGGAUUGGGUAGUUGGUAAGGUAACGGCUUACCAAGGCAACGAUGCGUGGCCGACCUGAGAGGGUGAUCGGCCACACUGGAACUGAGACACGGUCCAGACUCCUACGGGAGGCAGCAGUAGGGAAUCUUCGGCAAUGGGCGAAAGCCUGACGGAGCAACGCCGCGUGAGUGAUGAAGGUCUUCGGAUCGUAAAGCUCUGUUAUUGGGGAAGAACAGAUGUGGAAUUAACUAAACACGGCGUGACGGUACCUAAUCAAAAAGCCACGGCUAACUACGUG
RNAcentral lists this ribosomal RNA (497 nucleotides) under uncultured bacterium. RNAcentral describes it as "partial 16S ribosomal RNA". It matches the Rfam family "Bacterial small subunit ribosomal RNA", at positions 28 to 507 of the family's 1533-position model. The record is from RNAcentral.